UACGGAAGGCAGCAGUGGGGAAUAUUGCACAAUGGGCGAAAGCCUGAUGCAGCUAUGCCGCGUGUAUGAAGAAGGCCUUAGGGUUGUAAAGUACUUUCAUCGGGGAGGAAAAACAAAACUAAUAAUUUUAUUUCUUGACGUUACCCGAAAAAGAAGCACCGGCUAACUCCGUGCCAGCAGCCGCGGUAAUACGGAGGGUGCUAGCGUUAAUCAGAAUUACUGGGCGUAAAGAGCACGUAGGUGGUUUUUUUAAGUCAGAUGUGAAAUCCCUGGGCUUAACCUGGAACUGCAUUUUGAAACUGAAAUACUAGAGUAUCGUAGAGGGAGGUAGAAUUCUAGGUGUAGCGGUGAAAUGCGUAGAUAUCUGGAGGAAUACCUGUGGCGAAAGCGGCCUCCUAAACGAAUACUGACACUGAGGUGCGAAAACGUGGGAGGGC
This 437-nucleotide ribosomal RNA is filed under the name uncultured bacterium. Its description in RNAcentral is "bacterial SSU rRNA". It matches the Rfam family "Bacterial small subunit ribosomal RNA", at positions 340 to 770 of the family's 1533-position model. The record is from RNAcentral.